GAGAUAGCUGGUUCUCCCCGAAAGCUAUUUAGGUAGCGCCUCGAGAAUUCAUCUCCGGGGGUAGAGCACUGUUUCGGCUAGGGGGGCAUCCCGGCUUACCAACCCGAUGCAAACUGCGAAUUCCGGAGAAUGUUAUCACGGGAGACACACGGCGGGUGCUAACGUCCGUCGUGAAGAGGGAAACAACCCAGACCGCCAGCUAAGGUCCCAAAGUCAUGGUUAAGUGGGAAACGAUGUGGGAAGGCCCAGACAGCCAGGAUGUUGGCUUAGAAGCAGCCAUCAUUUAAAGAAAGCGUAAUAGCUCACUGGUCGAGUCGGCCUGCGCGGAAGAUGUAACGGGGCUAAACCAUGCACCGAAGCUGCGGCAGCGAACGUAUCACCCAAGACAACUUUACGGAGUUGACGAUUGACGGAGCGAAGCGACGUCAAAGCGUUCAUUAAAGUCGAGUUGGCUUAGGGAUACGUUCGUUGGGUAGGGGAGCGUUCUGUAAGCCUGUGAAGGUGUGUCGUGAGGCAUGCUGGAGGUAUCAGAAGUGCGAAUGCUGACAUAAGUAACGAUAAAGCGGGUGAAAAGCCCGCUCGCCGGAAGACCAAGGGUUCCUGUCCAACGUUAAUCGGGGCAGGGUGAGUCGACCCCUAAGGCGAGGCCGAAAGGCGUAGUCGAUGGGAAACGGGUUAAUAUUCCCGUACUUGGUGUUACUGCGAAGGGGGGACGGAGAAGGCUAUGUUGGCCGGGCGACGGUUGUCCCGGUUUAAGCGUGUAGGUGUGUGUUCCAGGUAAAUCCGGUUCACUUUAACACUGAGGCGUGAUGACGAGGCACUACGGUGCUGAAGCAACAAAUGCCCUGCUUCCAGGAAAAGCCUCUAAGCAUCAGGUAACAUCAAAUCGUACCCCAAACCGACACAGGUGGUCAGGUAGAGAAUACCAAGGCGCUUGAGAGAACUCGGGUGAAGGAACUAGGCAAAAUGGUGCCGUAACUUCGGGAGAAGGCACGCUGACACGUAGGUGAAGUGAUUUACUCAUGGAGCUGAAGUCAGUCGAAGAUACCAGCUGGCUGCAACUGUUUAUUAAAAACACAGCACUGUGCAAACACGAAAGUGGACGUAUACGGUGUGACGCCUGCCCGGUGCCGGAAGGUUAAUUGAUGGGGUCAGCGUAAGCGAAGCUCCUGAUCGAAGCCCCGGUAAACGGCGGCCGUAACUAUAACGGUCCUAAGGUAGCGAAAUUCCUUGUCGGGUAAGUUCCGACCUGCACGAAUGGCGUAAUGAUGGCCAGGCUGUCUCCACCCGAGACUCAGUGAAAUUGAACUCGCUGUGAAGAUGCAGUGUACCCGCGGCAAGACGGAAAGACCCCGUGAACCUUUACUAUAGCUUGACACUGAACAUUGAGCCUUGAUGUGUAG
This 1403-nucleotide ribosomal RNA is filed under the name Salmonella enterica subsp. enterica serovar Typhimurium. RNAcentral describes it as "bacterial LSU rRNA". It matches the Rfam family "Bacterial large subunit ribosomal RNA", at positions 842 to 2141 of the family's 2925-position model. Lineage: Bacteria; Pseudomonadati; Pseudomonadota; Gammaproteobacteria; Enterobacterales; Enterobacteriaceae. The record is from RNAcentral.